UCCAUGAGUACCUUGGCAUGAUG
This 23-nucleotide non-coding RNA is filed under the name Arabidopsis thaliana (thale cress). The record is from RNAcentral. Lineage: Eukaryota; Viridiplantae; Streptophyta; Magnoliopsida; Brassicales; Brassicaceae.